Molecule: non-coding RNA, 7975 nt
Organism: Oryctolagus cuniculus (rabbit)
Lineage: Eukaryota; Metazoa; Chordata; Mammalia; Lagomorpha; Leporidae
Source: RefSeq, a predicted model, not a curated record
CUCCUGUGACAUCCGUGAAAGCUAGCCAAGUGUGUUCGCCUUUUAAAACUUAGGACCUGGCCGGCGCCGCGGCUCACUAGGCUAAUCCUCCGCCUAGCGGCGCCGGCACCCCGGGUUCUAGUCCCGGUCGGGGCGCCGGAUUCUGUCCCGGUUGCCCCUCUUCCAGGCCAGCCCUCUGCUGUGGCCAGGGAGUGCAGUGGAGGAUGGCCCAGGUGCUUGGGCCCUGCACCCCAUGGGAGACCAGGAAAAGCACCUGGCUCCUGGCUCCUGCCAUCGGAUCAGCGCGGUGCGCCGGCCGCAGCGCGCCGGCUGUGGCGGCCAUUGGAGGGUGAACCAACGGCAAAGGAAGACCUUUCUCUCUGUCUCUCUCUCUCACUGUCCACUCUGCCUGUCAAAAAAAUAAAAAAAUAAAAAACUUAGGACCCAUCGCAGAGAGGGCUGUGUCUCGGGGAAGAGAGGACUGGAGACUAGCUUUCCGCUCUAGGUACUUUUGCAUUAUUUAAAUGUUUUAAAAGCCGCCUGUGUGUCACUUUUAGAAUUAGGAAAAAAAAUAAAGUACAAAUCCCUCAAAUGGGAAACCACGGGGUGACUUAACAGCGAAGGGGAGGUUUGCCUUUCACACCUCCCCGUCCUCAUGGACGUCUUAAUGAGCAAGACAAACCCGCUCUUCAGAACUAAAUUCCCCCAGGGCCCAACUGCACUGCUCCAAAUAAACGCGCCACGGUGUAGACGGUUCGUUCCUGCAGCACACUUUCGUGAGACUAAGACGCGCGUCCACACGGCUCUGGAAGCUCCCUGCUUUAGCUGAUGUGAGAAGAAAAACAAAACCCGAACUGCGCCAAAAACCGACUCCAGGAGCCCAGCGACUUCCCGACGUGCACUCCGGGCGCGGGCACGGCCGCCUCGCCCCGCCCCCUCACGUGACUCUGUGACCCAGGAAGCCAUCUUAGGCCUCCGGCCUCACAGAGGAACUACAUUUCCCAGGAUCCCCGCGCGCGGCGUCGCGCUGGCACUUGCACUAGCCGGGCCUUAGAGUCGAGUCUGUAGCCGGGCGCCAUCUUUGACGCUGGCAGUCUUGGAUUUCUGCUGGUUUUGCUGCUGGGCGGACGGCGGGCGGCAGCGCUUAAGAAAGAAGAAAGACGUGGCAGCGAGCAGGAGUCGGGGAUAGUGUCAUCGGUUCGGUAAAGUUUCUGUUCUCUGGGCCCCAGCACUUUGGAGGUUUUCUCAAACUCCACACACAGAAAGCCACCGACCGCAUUCCGGUAUCCUACCCCCAUUCCCCACGCUCGCACGCUCCCGCCCCCGCCCGCAGCAUCGGAGUCCGGAGCUGCAGGGACACUGCCGGUCUCCCCGAGGGGUCGCUGGGACCGUGCUGAGGAGCGCCCCUAGGCUCCCAUAAGCGGUGCGGAUUCUUAGCGGGCAGGCCUCUGUGCUUGACAGCUUCCAGGCCUUGGCUCUGGGCUGGAGGAGGAGGCGGUGGGGCUAGGGGGUAGCGAUGCUUUCUAGGGUGAACGUGCGUAGGCCUUGGGCGGGGAGGGAGCCACCCAGCAGGAGUGCAGGAGCCCCGGCCGGUGGUGAGCUGUGAUGCUGCGCCCCAGAGGUACAAACAGGGAGUCAGAAAUGCACCUUGCUACCUGGCUUUUCUAUCACAGCGUUUUUUCCAGCUAUCCGCACUUUUAAAAAUUGUGUUACUUUUUAGUUAGAGCCCAAAGAGCUGAACGCGCAUUUGCUGUUAAUGACCAGUAUGUGGAGUCUGAUUUAGCUUUCCAGAAUUGACUUUGGGGGUUGCAUUGGCAAAUCUCAGUCCUCUGAUGAAUGCUGAAUGAUGCACUAUGUUUUUGUUUAAAUGAAAUUUGCUGAAAAUAAUUAAUUGCAGAGUUAAGGGAAAGUCGAUGUUGCUUGCUAUGGCGAGGCAUCAUAAAAACACGUGUCUUGAAAGCCGAAGGCAUUUCAGACAGAGUUCUUGAUGAAGCAGAAGGAACACGAGCCUGGGAUUUGGGAGACCUGGCUUCUAGCUGCUGCCACCAGCUCUGUGCCUGUGGGAGAGUGGACUUCAGCUCUGAUUUCUGGAGCAUGACAACACUGAACGAUUUGAAUUCAGAGCUCAGAAAGUUAGAAGGGAUCUUAGAGCCCUUUAAGGAAGUGUGUGGGAAUGUUCUCCAUUGCCCUCAGUUUUCCUGCACAAGUAAGCUGGCUUGGAAGUCAUUGGUCCGCAGGGAAUCUGACCGCCGUAGAAGCCGGAGGACAGGCCCUGCACGCCAGCCGGAGUGGUAGACCCGCGAGCCGAGCCUGGCGUGGAGAGGAUGAGUGUGUGUGCUCUCAGUGUGCCGGUCUCCUCCCUCUCUCCUGGCAGAAGGUGCAGCACCUUCGGGGGUGCUGGGAUUCUGGGGUGCGUUCCUGUUCAUUCUAACACCGAUGAAGAUGACGUGGUAGACGGAAAGAUGGUGGCAGAGGCAGUGGACAGAGAGGCAAAACUGCCUGCUAAAAAGAAGAGAAAGAAGGGGCUGCGGAUCAAAGGGAAGAGGCGCCGAAAAAAGCUGCUUCUUGCUAAGAAGUUCAGUAAGGACCUGGGCUCGGGGAGGCCUGUUGCAGACACCCCUGCCUUGUUGGCUCCCAGUGCCCCUGAGCAGGAUGAGGAGGGGCUUUUCGAGAGCAACAUAGAGAAACAGAUUUAUCUACCCAGCACCAGAGCGAAGACCUCCAUCGUGUGGCACUUCUUCCACGUGGACCCCCAGUACACCUGGCGAGCCAUCUGCAACCUCUGUGAGAAGAGCGUCAGCAGGGGCAAGCCAGGCAGCCAUCUCGGCACGUCCACGCUCCAGCGGCACCUGCAGGCGCGGCAUUCGCCGCACUGGACCAGGGCCAACAAAUUUGGAGUCACUAGUGGGGAGGAGGACUUCAGCUUGGAUGUAUCUCUGUCUCCCUCUUCUCCUGGAAGCAAUGGAAGCUUUGAAUAUAUUCCCACCGACCCAUUAGAUGAUACUAGGAUGGGUAAGAAACGUGAUAAAUCAGCGUCUGAUGCCCUGAGGGCAGAAAGAGGGAGAUUUCUCAUCAAAAGUAACAUUGUCAAGCAUGCCUUGAUUCCUGGAACCCGAGCCAAGACAUCUGCAGUUUGGAAUUUUUUUUACACCGAUCCUCAGCACAUUUCCAGAGCUGUGUGUAAUAUUUGUAAGAGGAGUGUGAGCCGGGGCAGGCCAGGCUCCCACUUGGGAACCUCAACCCUUCAGAGACACCUGCAGGCCACGCACCCCAUCCACUGGGCUGUUGCCAACAAAGACAGUGGAGCUGUUGGCAACGGCUCAGACGAGGCAGAGACUGAAAGCAAUGAUCUCUUGAGUGAUGCUGUGCACGGAGAGAAGUCCACCGGCAGCCAGGAGCUCACAGCCGAGGACCUCAGUGACUCUGAUUCAGACGAACCUCCCGUGUUGGAGGUUGAGAAUAGGCCCGAGAGUCCUGUUCCUGCCGUCGAGCAGGGCAGUCUGCAGCCCGUGCCGGAGAAGCAGACCGCGCGUUGUGAGAACCCAGGCUCCAGUCAGAUCAGUCAGGCCGUCAUUCAGAUGAUCGUGGAGGACAUGCACCCCUACAGCUACUUCUCGAGCCCGGCCUUCCAGCGCUUCCUGCAGGUUGUGGCCCCAGACUACAGACUGCCGUCAGAGACUUACUUUUUCACUAAGGCUGUGCCUCAGUUGUACGACUGUGUCAGAGAAAAAAUUUUCUUGACUCUGGAGAAUGUUCAGAGCCAAAAGAUCCACCUGACUGUUGACAUAUGGACCCACGACCCAUCCACUGACUACUUCAUCGUGACUGUACACUGGGUCUCCUUGGAAACUGCCUCUUCCCAUGAUGACAGGAUGCCCAGUUUUAGGAAGUGGGCAGUGCUUUGUGUUACAGGUUUAGCCAAAGACUGUUUGAUAACCAACAUUUUACAAGAAUUGAAUGACCAGAUCGGUCUGUGGCUUUCACCUAAUUUCCUUAUCCCUAGCUUCAUUGUUUCUGACAAUUCCUCAAGUGUGGUACAUGCAAUCAGAGAUGGCGGUUUUACCCAUGUGCCGUGCUUCCUGCAUUGCUUGAAUAUAGUCAUUCAGGACUUUUUCUGUGAGCACAAAAGCAUUGAGAAUAUGUUAGUGGCAGCUAGGAAAACAUGUCAUCAUUUUAGCCAUUCCGUCAAGGCCCGUCAGAUACUGCAGGAGUUCCAAAAUGAUCACCAACUUCCAUGGAAGAACCUGAAGCAGGAUGAAGCUGGCCAUUGGAUUUCCACCUUCCAUAUGUUAAAGUGGCUCUUGGAGCAUUGCUACUCAGUGCACCACAGCCUUGGGAGAGCCAGUGGGGUUGUGCUGACUUCCCUGCAGUGGACUCUGAUGACCUACGUCUGUGAUAUUCUGAAGCCUUUUGAGGAGGCCACGCAGAAAGUGAGCGUGAGGACCACAGGACUGAAUCAGGUGCUGCCCCUGAUCCGCCACCUGCUGCUUUCCUUACAGAGACUCAGAGAGGAGUUUCAGCUCAGAGGCAUCACUCAGGCCCUCAAUCUGGUGGACAGUUUAUCUCUGAAACUCGAGACCGACACCCUGCUGAGUGCCAUGCUCAGAUCCAAGCCCUGUAUCCUGGCUGCUUUGUUAGAUCCUUGCUUUAAAAACAGUUUGGAAGACUUUUUCCCUCAAGGUGCUGAUUUAGAAACCUACAAACAAAUCCUUGCGGAAGAGGUUUGUAAUUACAUGGCAUCGUCACCAGAGGUGUGCCAGGUUGCCUCUUCAGGAGGCUCUGGGCCCUUAGCUGCAGUAGGGGCCGAUUCAUUUAGCUCCGCUCUGAAAGAAGGCGCCUCCAGUUCAGUGUCCCUCGAGAGCGCAGCUGCAGGCGGUGCUGCGGCUGGAAGCAGAAGCUCCCUGUUCCCUUGUGCUGCAGCAGUAGUGGACGAGUACUUCCAGGAGGAGUACUCAGAGCCCGCGGGAGGCGAUGACCCCUUGGUGUACUGGCAGGGGAAGGUGAGCCUCUGGCCAGCGUUGACCCAAGUUGCGGUUCAGUAUCUGAGCUGCCCCAUGUGUAGCUGGCAGUCUGAAUGUAUCUUUACUACCAAUAGCCACUUUCAUCCAAAGCAGAUCAUGAGCCUGGACUUCGACAAUGUAGAACAGCUGAUGUUUCUGAAAAUGAACUUGAAAAAUGUUAACUAUGAUUAUUCUACAUUGGUUCUGAGUUGGGAUCCUGAGAAUGAAGCUGUUCAAAGGACUGAAAAAGAAAUACUACCUUAAUUUUUUUCCUUUCUCCAUUUAAAAUGGGAACUUUUUGCUAUGUUACCAUAUCCUUAUUGUUAUAGUUGUUACAUAUAGUCAUACUAAUCACUCUUUAUAAAACAAAUCUGGGGAAACCUGAAAACACAGAAGGGGCUGAAAAUUCCUCAGAGGCAAUAUGAUAUUGAUAAAGUUAACCUCAGAAAGACUUCACAGUUGUAGCUCAGUGUAGCUAGCACUUGAAAUUUUUAUAUUGACUGAGAGAGAAAAUAUAUUUUUUUAACUAAAAAAAAAUAUAGUGCAGCAUUGAAAAGCCUUAGACUGUUUCUGGUUGGUGGGUUGAUCUACUAGUAAUUGGUUUUAAGUAAAAAUUUCCCCCAGUAUGGGAAGUUUGAUUAUUCAGAAACCAAUGAAACGAGAGGGAAAAAAACAGGCUACUAAGAUGAUAUUUCCUUUCCCCGCCCCCCUCCAUUUUUCUCUUUCAUUAAAACCCUGGUGCUUACAACUUGGCCAAAAGAAAAUCCGCAAAUUGUUUUAUGAUUGGAAAUUUACAAUUACCUCCUCAUACUGGUCAGCUUUAUGAUUUCAAAUUACCAAAUGUGAUAGUUAGCCUCUAUGUUUAGGAUGGGAUCUAUGGGAAACGGAAGCAAUAGAAACCAGUUAGGAAAAAAUUACGUUUAGUCCUGGAAUUGCCUUUUUUAACCUUUAUAAAGUAGUAUAAAAACAAUAAGAUUUUACAGGUGCGUUGUAUACUUUAUGGGUAAAUAAGAGGAAGCUUGUAAGAAUUGAAUGGGAAUUGAAAUGAAAGUCCUCCGAGCAUACUUUGACAAACCCAUUAUGCAUUUCCCAAAGAAUGUUUCUCUAACUUCAGGUGCUCUUUUAAAGAACAUACCUAAUAAUCCAUAAUGCUGUAUUCUUAACUAAAAAUAAGCAGUCAGUGUUCUCCGUCAGGAAUCAUUGAUGAAGCGAGUGAGUCGAUCGCAGUGAUCUUUAAGAUUCCUUUCCACCCUGGAAAUAGGUUUCAGUGAUUGAGUGGGAGGCCAGGAAAUUUUAGUGAAAGUCUAUUAGAAGUUUCAGACUGAAUAACUAAUGUAAGAUCCCAAUUUUUCCUUUUUUUCAUUUUAGAUUUGGGGAUAUUCCCUGCCCAAAAAAAUCCUGGAAAAUUGACUAGUAUUAAGUGUGAGUAAAAGGUGUCCACUUUUUUUAAGUUUUGAUUUUAGUUUUGUCUUGGAUAGUAUUUGGCAAGAUUUAGCCUAGAAAUUAUGUAGUAUUUAUUACGUAAAAAUCAAAAUUGCUUUGUUACUGGGCUGUUUUCAAAAAUUUAGAACUCAUUUUAUGUAUCAAGAAAGUUUUUUUUUUUUUUUAAUUUUGUCUUUUUAAAAUUUCUUAAAUGGUAACUGUACCAUUGUGAAAUGAAAUUUCAACUCCCAAAAGUUUACCCUUUUACUGAGCAGAACAAAUGGAUAAUAACAAAGUCUUCAGCCUUGGCCGUCACUAGUAAAGAAUUUGGAACUAGACCGCAUGAGCAAGCCUUUGCAGGGCCGGUAUUGACUGUCCUGCCGGCGACUCUGGUGCUGCUGUGAGAAGCGAAGCUCCCCGUAGGCGCUGCUCUGACAGCGCGGGCCGGGUCGGAAUGGCUCUGCCGCCGCUCUGCCUCCCACAGCUCGCUGCACUGCUCUGCAGUUACUCUGUAACUCUGCGUUUCUAUCUUUUUUGGUUAAACACUCCCUGAUGGUGAUGAUAAAACAUGCAUCUAUAUUAUACACCUCAAACUAUAGAAAGGGGUUUCCCUUCUUAAUUUUGUGGGCUGUGCAAAAUUUAGUGUAAUGUUAACUUCAUGGUGCUUUGAUGUAAGUUCACUAUUUUUACAAUGAACCCAAAUCCAAAGGCUUUUACAGUGUAUUUUAAAAGGGGAAACUUACCCAGAUGUUUUAUUUCUACACCUUUGUGUAUAUGUAUGUGUGUGUUUAAGCCAGUUAGUGUAUAUGUAUAUGUAUAUUUUAUACAUAAAACACUUUAUUUUUACAUACAAUUAUGCUUUUAUUAUACAGAUAAUAAAGAUGGGGGAAGGUUUCUGUUUUUUUCUUAAUAGGUGAAGAAAUCUUGAAGACCAGAAAUUGGAUCUUAUUGAAUUUUGGUGUGCUUUUUCUUUUUUUUUUUUUCUUUUUUUUUUCUUUUUAAAAUUACAUUGUUCGGCUAUGGAAGAUGGAUUUUUUUAUAUAUAUAUAUAACUUUUAACCUCAAGUUCAUCCUUAAAUGAACUCUUUUUUUCUUCGUCUUGUUGUUUUUUGGCUUUGAGGAGAUAACUAAACCUAGCUGUCUCCAGUCUGACAAAGGUUAUUCGAAUGGACUUAAUCUCCCAGUAGUUGGGGGAUAUUUUAAAACACAUCCUGUGUUUCAAUUGUGGAUGAGAGGUUUCCUUGGCAAUGUGAGGAGGAAAAUUCUUUCUGCCUCAUUAUUAUUAAUUCAUGGAUUGAGUGUUGGUUCGACCUACAGGCGUGAUAGAUUGGACUCAGUGAAGACACAGACGUUCCUGUUGAGAGCAACCAGCUAAUGAUUACAUUGUAAAGACGAUUUCUGUGAGUGAAUUGUCAUUUGGAAGAAUAAACCCAUUGCAAGAGGACGUGGAGCUGGUCCUCACCUUGAGGAAGCAGUGGCUUGUUUGAAGAAGCCACUCCUGGUCUGAGAAUUUACCCAGCAUGCCCAAUCAAGGAGAAGAUUGCUAUUUUUUUUUCUAUUCUACAUGUACCAAA